UGGGUUUUUACCAUGUUGGUUAGGCUGGUCUUGAACUCCUGACCUCAAGCAAUCCUCCCGCCUCAGCCUCCUAAAGUGCUGGGAUUACAGGUGUGAGCCACUGUGCCCGGCCCCAGUACAUAGAUUCUGACAACACACACUACUUCUUGUGGUUAUUACCUCUGUCUUACUUCAGUGUUCGUGUUUAGAUUUUUCCUCUCCCUCUAAUAUGUUUUAUUGAAAGUAACUUCUUUUAUUAAAUGACACCUCUGAAAUAUGUAGUGCAGUUCCUGUUCUCCUGGCUGGACCCUGACUGAUGCCAUGGGGAAAGCCCUCGGGCUCGUGGACCUUAAAUUCCAGGUCCUGUUGUGCCCAACUCAUGAUUUAUCCAGGUCACACCAGUCUGGUCUGUCACAGUAAGAGGGCCACCAGGAAACACACCUUCAGGAAGCACCUUUUCUGUUCUAUCCCAAAGGGCACCAUCACAUACACUAUAAUAUGAAUCAUGACCCCCGGAGUUGUGUGGAGUUUCUGCAUCUCUCCCUCCCCACUGUGGCUACCCUCAUCCAGCAACCAUCCUGUCUCUCACCGGUAUUACCGCAGCUGAGACCCAGGUCUUAAGGAAGCUGAGACCCAGGCCAGCAGGGGCCUCACAGGUAGAAUGAAGCUUGGAAAAAGAGGAGGGUGUAAGACUCUGGAUGAAGCUGAGAGAUCCUUCCAUGCUUGGCUGAGAGACUACACAGACAUGAGCUUCAGGAGACUCCAAAGCCUCGGAUCCCCUUCUAAACUAGCACUGAAUUCUGAUUGGCUGUCUUUGCCUGCCUCAGUUUGUUCCUUUUACUGAUUGGCUAGGUUCUUCUGCCCAUGGCAGAGCCCUGCUCCAGCCACCGGAUCCUCCCACCUGCCACAGUGUCACCUGGGAUUGGCUGGGCUCUGAAAGGCCAGGCUGGCUUGACUCUUGCCAUCAUCAGAUUCUUCCUCAUUAAACAAAUGAAUCACAAUCCUAAUUAAUUUGAGCAACAGAAUUUAUGUAACUACUCCCAGCAGGAUGUCUGCUCUCAGUCAGCAGAGAGAUUACUUCCUCUCUCUGGGAAAUUCCAGCCUUGCUGGUCAAUAAGCCUUAAUGAUGACUGAAAUCUCCCAUCUGUCUCUGCUCAGGGCAGGUAACCCCUACUAAGCAGACACCCAGUUGGCUCGAGGCAGUACCCCGGGCACCGGCAGGACAAGGACAACGAUCUCCCAGCCUAGAUGUGUCCUGAGCCACAUGGAGCACACAGAUUACAGGAUCUGACUCCCAUUUGGGCCUUCCACCUCCGCUGGCCUAAGCAGUCAAGUGUCAGAGAGCACUGGACCUAACAGCUCCCUCACCAGAGCAGCUGUGAUUCCUUCUUCAUUUCCAGCAGGGAAGACCCAACAACUUUUAUAAUAUGGGAUUUCUUUUAUUCUCAUGAUAAUAAUGUUCAUUGUGGAAAAUAAAAAAAAAUGAUAAAAUAAAAAUCAGCCAGAAUUCCAACUUCUGGAGAUUUUGGUGUCUUUCUGCAAAGUUCCUAUGCACAUAGAUACUUUAUAAAAUUAUGAACAUACUGUACAUACAGUUUUGGAAUAUGCCUUUUUCCUUCUGUCAUGAAAAAGUCUUCAAAUGCCUUUUAACAGCUACACAAUAGUUCACUACAUGAACCAACUCAAAUGUAACUAUUUUUGGCCUUUUGUUAUAAAUAACACAAGAACCCUCAGUCUUUGUUACAUAAUGUCCUAACAGAGUAGGGGAAAUGCUCCCCAAUCCGGUGCAAUGUCCUGUGCCCAGGGAAACCAAUU
RNAcentral lists this long non-coding RNA (1794 nucleotides) under Homo sapiens (human). Its description in RNAcentral is "HSALNT0174840". Lineage: Eukaryota; Metazoa; Chordata; Mammalia; Primates; Hominidae. The record is from RNAcentral.